CGAAGAGGAAAGACGAAGACGAAAUGAAAGCCAUGCUUAAUUUAAGUAAGAGCACAAUAGAAGAUAUAAUUAAAAGGUUUAAACAAGAAGAUCGUAUAGAAUCUAUACCACAAAAAGGACAGUCAAGAAAGUUGGAUAUCAGUGACCAAAGGAAAAUAAUAAGAAAAAUAAAGGUAAAUCCUUAAUUAAGUGCUCUAAAACUAGCUGACGAACUUUUGAUAGAGACAGAAAAAGGUACAUCCCCAAACUAUACGCAGAGCACUGAAAAAAGGUGGUCACAACGGAAGAGUUGCUCAAAAAAGCCAUUUGUAAAAGAGGCAAAUAGAAAGAAAAGAUUAAAUUAUGCACGAUAAUUUUAAAAAGAAAUCACAUGGUGAAAUGACGUAAUUUUUAGCGAUAAAAGUAAAUUUAAUAUUUUUAGCAAAGAGUGGUUGGCGAAAAAAGAAUAAAGAAUCAAAAUUUAAAAAUAUGAAACCCACUGUAAAGCACAGUGGUGAAAGCAUGCUUGUGUAUGAAUCUAUUGCAACGUUUGAAACAGGUGAAAUAGUUUUCAUUGAUAGCAUUAGGGACAAAAAUAUAUAUUUAAACGUUUUAGAAAAAUAAUUUACGCAAAAAUUCAAUAAAAAUUGAAAUUGUUGAUAUUUUUAGAUACUACCAAGAAAAUGACCCCAAACAUAAGGCCCGUAUUGUACAGGAAUAUUUGUUGUAUAACUGUCUAAAAUUGUUACGCCCUCCACCUCAAUCACCAAAUUUGAAACUUCAUUGAAAACUUAUGGGACGAACUAGAAAGGCAAAUUAUAAAACUGCAAUAACGUCAAAAGAAGUGUUGAAACAGCGAUAAAAGGGAGAAUGGAAUGAUAUUAAUAUCGAAUACCUGAUAAAAUUAAUUUGUAAUAUGCCCCAACGUUUGAAGGAAGUUAUUAGUCAAGGAGGUUACUCUACAAGGUAUUAAAUCACUUAUAAAACAUAAAAAUUAAGAAAAAAUUACUUAUAUCUUAGAGUGUCCGAAUAUUCAAGUAAUGUUAAAAUU
This 1030-nucleotide unclassified non-coding RNA is filed under the name Bombus terrestris (buff-tailed bumblebee). Its description in RNAcentral is "misc RNA ENSBTSG00005023681.1". Lineage: Eukaryota; Metazoa; Arthropoda; Insecta; Hymenoptera; Apidae. The record is from RNAcentral.